This is a non-coding RNA of Potamilus streckersoni, 73 nucleotides long. The record is from the annotation of a GenBank genome assembly. NCBI's taxonomy places the organism in Eukaryota, Metazoa, Mollusca, Bivalvia, Unionida, Unionidae.
GCUCCGGUGGCCUAGUAGUUAGAGCGUCCGCCUAGGAUGCGGGUCAUCGUGGGUUCGAUUCCCGGUCGAGUCA